AUUGAACGCUGGCGGCAGGCUUAACACAUGCAAGUCGAGCGGGGUGAUGGUGCUUGCACUAUCACUUAGCGGCGGACGGGUGCGUAAUGCUUAGGAAUCUGCCUAUUAGUGGGGGACAGCAUCUCGAAAGGGAUGCUAAUACCGCAUACGUCCUACGGGAGAAAGCAGGGGAUCACUUGUGACCUUGCGCUAAUAGAUGAGCCUAAGUCGGAUUAGCUAGUUGGUGGGGUAAAGGCCUACCAAGGCGACGAUCUGUAGCGGGUCUGAGAGGAUGAUCCGCCACACUGGGACUGAGACACGGCCCAGCCUCCUACGGGAGGCAGCAGUGGGGAAUAUUGGACAAUGGGGGGAACCCUGAUCCAGCCAUGCCGCGUGUGUGAAGAAGGCCUUAUGGUUGUAAAGCACUUUAAGCGAGGAGGAGGCUCUUUUGGUUAAUACCCAAGAUGAGUGGACGUUACUCGCAGAAUAAGCACCGGCUAACUCUGUGCCAGCCGCCGCAGUAA
This 503-nucleotide ribosomal RNA is filed under the name uncultured bacterium. RNAcentral describes it as "partial 16S ribosomal RNA". It matches the Rfam family "Bacterial small subunit ribosomal RNA", at positions 30 to 523 of the family's 1533-position model. The record is from RNAcentral.